Molecule: long non-coding RNA, 1364 nt
Filed under: Olea europaea subsp. europaea
Lineage: Eukaryota; Viridiplantae; Streptophyta; Magnoliopsida; Lamiales; Oleaceae
Source: RNAcentral
GAUUAAGUGCAAUCAAUUUGUGAUGGAACACACCAUCUCCUUUCAUCUCUACAUCUUAUCUUGAGAUUUUUCAAGUUAGUCUUUGUAAUUUUUUAUGUUCUGCUUGAAUUAGAUUCAUUCUCUCCCAUCGACAACCAAAAAUUGAACAUUUAAUGAAUUUAUUGACUGGUCAAAUUUCUCUAUUCUUUUUGUCAAAGUAAUUCCCCCUCUUUGUUUAUCCCUAACAGCUUGGCCAAUGGAAUGUAGUAAUUUCAGGAUUGGAUUUGAAUUUUGAUUUAUAAUUAAGGAUUUCCAAAUAUUAGGUUGUAAAUAAAUAAGGCAGACUCAUUUUUGUAAUACAUGAAUCCAUAACUUAUAGUUCCUAUCAAUCAGAUUUGUGGAGUAGAGAAGUUCUGUAUUAGAAGUUCAGAUUUAGGAUUGGGAUUCAUUGCCAUUUUUUAAUCCAUAAUGCCAUCCAAAAGAAUGUAGGGAGUUUUUACCCACUCAAAUUCAAAUCUUAUGCGUACAUACCAUCCAAAUUCCAACAUGUAAAAUAAACUUUCCUUCAGUUUUCUAAUUGAGAUAAGCAUACUUAUAAUAACAUAAGAACCCCAGUACCUCAAAUCUUAGUUUAGCUUCUUUACCUUGUCACUUGUGGUUGUGGAUGCUUGUAAAAACUUCAAGUUAACAUGGCACAGUAAGCUUUCCUUGUUUUAUUUCUAUGAGGUUAGAUAUAUAGUUAAUAAUUUAGAUUUCUAUCAGUAUAAAAAACCCAAACCAUAAAAAAAAAAGUACAUACCAAUAUGUGUAUGAAUACAAUUACUCAUACAUCUAUUACACAAAAAUAAAUGUAAUAUGUAAUUGUUAAAAAAAUAUUGUUUUUAAGGCUUAACAAUACCAAAUUCAAGAAAUCAACAAACAAGAGCUAACCAAAACCAUCCAAAAUCAUUCCAAACUAAUCAUAACACACAAAUCAAUCGACAAACAUGAGCUUCGGUGGAAUUUUCAACACAGUAGGAAGAACUGAACGAAGAAUACACAACAAGAACAUCAAAGGAACAUACUCUAGGUAUUUUGGGUUCGACUUCUUAAAAGAUCGAACAAAAAAAAUUAAAAGAAAUUGCAGAUUCAACAAUAAAACUCCAAAAAUUGGAAACAACGUACAAAAGACAAAGAAAUUGAAGUAGGGAAGAUAAUACUUAUUGGUAUAUGUCUCAAUUGCCUUAGAUUCUUUUGAUUCUCUUUGUAUGAUCGCGAGAGAGGGCAAUUAAGGUUAAGAAGUAGAGAAUAUGAGUGACAACUCAUGCCUUUUUUUGUAUACUUUUUUAUCCUCAAGUAGCAUUUUUUUCAACCAAAUUUUCAGCCAAAUCGGUUCAUGAACAGUG